GACGAACGCUGGCGGCGUGCUUAACACAUGCAAGUCGAACGGAAAGGCCUCUUUUGGGGGGUACUCGAGUGGCGAACGGGUGAGUAACACGUGAGUAACCUGCCCUUGACUUUGGGAUAACUUCAGGAAACUGGGGCUAAUACCGGAUAGGAGCUCCUGCUGCAUGGUGGGGGUUGGAAAGUUUCGGCGGUUGGGGAUGGACUCGCGGCUUAUCAGCUUGUUGGUGGGGUAGUGGCUUACCAAGGCUUUGACGGGUAGCCGGCCUGAGAGGGUGACCGGCCACAGUGGGACUGAGAUACGGCCCAGACUCCUACGGGAGGCAGCAGUGGGGAAUAUUGCAUAAUGGGUGGAAGCCUGAUGCAGCAACGCCGUGUGCGGGAGGACGGCCUUCGGGUUGUAAACCGCUUUCGCUCAUGACGAAGCUUUGUGUGACGGUAGUGGGUAAAGAAGCACCGGCUAACUACGUG
Molecule: ribosomal RNA, 467 nt
Filed under: uncultured bacterium
Lineage: Bacteria
Description: partial 16S ribosomal RNA
Rfam family: Bacterial small subunit ribosomal RNA
Source: RNAcentral